UCGAAGUAAAACGUGUUCUCAAACUAAUCGUGUUUUAUUUAAAUAAUAAUAUCAAAGCUAACCUGAAACACUAAUUAUUAAAUAGUGUGUUCAGUAUGAAUUUCACCAAAGUUUCUAGAAAUAGCAACUAAUAAUCCUGUUGAUUCCUGGUUUACAAAAAAAUUUUGUAGCUUAAACUUGAUGUGGAGUGAAACAUAUCAAAACAGUCUUAUCCUGGGAAAGUGAUUAGUAGAUGCAUGCAUCCCCUCAGAUUUAAACAUUGCUUAUAAGAAUCAUGGGUCGUAUUGAUUAAUGGUAAAUUUGCCAUCUAAUAACCUGUACCGAUCAGUGUAAAUGUUAAAUAAGGACCCGAAGUACGUUUACGAAAUGGGAGUUUUGGUUUGUUUUGCAUUAUGAACGAAGGAUGGCCUAUUCCACAAACAGAUCAUGUUCUCCCGACGACGCAACUUCAGCAAUUAAACGGUUUAUUACUCGUAAUUGUCAGCAUUAUUAACUGUUAUUAGUUUGUCGCCGUGGUGUAGAAUAGUGAUUUGCAUGAAAUAAAAGGGUUCGAUUUAAUGGUGUCGAUUUUAAGUAUGGUAUUAUUUGUAGGUUCCUUCCAACAUUACUGCUAUUAUUAGGCCUUAAAUUUGAAAAUAAAUC
Molecule: long non-coding RNA, 642 nt
Organism: Diorhabda carinulata
Lineage: Eukaryota; Metazoa; Arthropoda; Insecta; Coleoptera; Chrysomelidae
Exons: 3
Source: RefSeq, a predicted model, not a curated record